RNAcentral lists this ribosomal RNA (253 nucleotides) under uncultured bacterium. RNAcentral's name for it is "partial 16S ribosomal RNA". It matches the Rfam family "Bacterial small subunit ribosomal RNA", at positions 524 to 776 of the family's 1533-position model. The record is from RNAcentral.
UACGGAGGGUGCAAGCGUUGAUCGGAAUUACUGGGCGUAAAGGGCGCGUAGGCGGUUAGGUAAGUCAGAUGUGAAAUUCCGGGGCUCAACCCCGGAGCUGCAUUUGAAACUUCAUAGCUAGAGUUCAGUUAGGGUAAACGGAAUUCCACGUGUAGCGGUGAAAUGCGUAGAUAUGUGGAAGAACACCGGUGGUGAAAACGGUUUACUGGGCUGAUACUGACGCUGAGGCGCGAAAGCAUGGGGAGCAAACAGG